CAGGCCGGCCGCAUGGCGGCGCUCCUGGGCUUCGAGUGGACGGACCUGUCCAGCUGGCAGAGGCUGGUGACCCUGCUCAAUCGACCGACGGAUCCGGCCAGCCUAGCGGUCUUCCGGGUUCUCUUUGCGUUCUUGAUGGUGCUGGACAUUCCCCAGGAGCGGGGGCUCAGCUCACUGGAUCGCAAAUACCUGGAUGGACUGGACGUUUGCCGCUUCCCCUUGCUGGAUACCUUGCGCCCACUGCCACUUGACUGGAUGUAUCUUGUCUACACCAUCAUGUUUCUGGGGGCGCUGGGCAUGAUGCUCGGGCUGUGCUACCGGCUGAGUUGUGUGCUGUUCUUGUUGCCAUAUUGGUAUGUGUUUCUCUUGGACAAGACGUCGUGGAACAACCAUUCUUACCUGUAUGGUUUGGUGGCCUUCCAGCUGACGUUCAUGGAUGCUCACCACUACUGGUCUGUGGACGGCCUUCUGAAUGCCCGUAAGAGGAAUGCCCACGUGCCCCUUUGGAACUAUACAGUGCUGCGUGGCCAGAUCUUCAUUGUGUACUUCAUUGCUGGUGUGAAGAAACUGGAUGCAGACUGGGUGGAAGGCUACUCCAUGGAGCACCUGUCUCGGCACUGGCUCUUCAAUCCCUUCAAAUUGGUGUUGUCUGAAGAGCUGACCAGCCUCCUGGUGGUGCACUGGUGUGGGCUGCUGCUGGACCUCUCUGCUGGUUUCCUGCUCUUCUUUGAUGCCUCAAGAUCCAUUGGCCUCUUCUUUGUGUCCUACUUCCACUGCAUGAAUUCCCAGCUCUUCAGCAUUGGUAUGUUCCCUUAUGUCAUGCUGGCUACCAGUCCUCUCUUCUGCUCCCCUGAGUGGCCUCGGAAGCUGAUAUCCCACUGCCCCAAAAGGCUCCAGGAGCUGCUGCCUCUCAAGGCAGCCCCUCAGCCCAGUGCUUCCUGCAUCUCUAAGAGGAGCCGAGCCAAAGGAGCCCAGAAGCCAGGGCUGCGCCACCAGCUGGGAGCUGCCUUCACUCUGCUCUACCUCCUGGAGCAGCUCUUUCUACCCUAUUCCCAUUUCCUCACCCAGGGCUAUAACAACUGGACAAAUGGGCUGUAUGGCUACUCCUGGGACAUGAUGGUGCACUCCCGCUCCCACCAGCAUGUGAAGAUCACCUACCGUGAUGGCCUUACCGGCGAGCUGGGCUACCUCAACCCUGGGGUAUUCACACAGAGCCGGCGAUGGAAGGAUCACGCAGAUAUGCUGAAGCAGUAUGCCACUUGCCUGAGCCGCCUGCUUCCCAAGUACAAUGUCACUGAGCCCCAGAUCUACUUUGAUAUAUGGGUCUCCAUCAAUGACCGCUUCCAGCAGAGGCUUUUUGACCCUCGUGUGGACAUCGUUCAGGCCGACUGGUCCCCCUUCCAGCGCACAUCUUGGGUGCAGCCACUGUUGAUGGACCUGUCUCCCUGGAGAACCAAGCUGCAGGAAAUCAAGAGCAGCCUGGACAACCACACAGAGGUGGUCUUCAUUGCAGACUUCCCUGGGCUGCAUCUGGAGAAUUUUGUGAGUGAAGACCUGGGCAACACUAGCAUCCAGCUGCUGCAGGGGGAGGUGACUGUGGAGUUGGUGGCAGAAGAGAAGAACCAGACUCUUCGGGAGGGAGAAAAAAUGCAGCUGCCUGCUGGUGAGUACCAUAAGGUGCACACGACAUCACCUGGCCCUUCCUGCUACAUGUACGUUUAUGUCAACACUACAGAGCUUGCACUGGAGCAAGACCUGGCUUAUCUACAAGAAUUAAAGGAAAAGGUGGAAAACGGAAGUGAAACGGGGCCUCUACCUCCAGAGCUGCAGCCUCUUUUGGAAGGGGAAGUGAAAGGGGGCCCUGAGCCAACACCUCUGGUUCAGACUUUUCUUAGACGCCAGCAAAGGCUCCAGGAGAUCCAACGCCGGCGAAAUACCCCUUUACACGAGCGACUCUUUCGCUUCUUGCUGCGAAAACUAUACAUCUUUCGUCGUAGCUUCUUGAUGACUCGAAUUUCACUUAGAAAUCUGUUAUUAGGCCGCCCUCCCCUGGAGCAGCUGGCCCAAGAGGUGACUUAUGCAAACUGGCGCCCUUUUGAAACAGAUGGUGAAUCAAGUCCUUCAAACAGGGAGUCUUCAAAUUCCAAUCCUCCUGAGACAAAUCCUGAUCCUAUGCACUCAGAGUUCUGAGGGCACCCGGAUGUUUGAUGCAGAUAUGGGAGCAGCCAGUCACAGACACAGCAUCUAUGCAAUGGUUGCCCAGGCUGACCUUGAAGUUGAGAUUCUCCUGCGUGGCUGGGAUUGCAUAUGCCUGCUUUUUAAUAUCAAGUCCCAUCAAUUUUUUCCACUGAAAUUCAAUUGAGACCAGGAAAGACAUUUUAUUGUGUGGGUUGUGACCUAUAGGAUAGGCAGAAAAUGUCAUGCAAGCUAUUGAAACACUUGGUCUUACUUAGGGUUCCUUGAAUGGUUAAAGAGUUAGGGGGGUUGGGAGGGGGUGUUUUUUGACCAGUUGUUUCUAAUUCUUCAUACCUUAGUUCAGCUAUCUUCCUUAUGUUUUGGAAGACUUCUAAUUAAAGUACUCUACAUGGGCAAGGAUGCUGCCUUCAUGGCAGCAUACCACCACCUCCCUGACCUAUGGCAUAAAGUGUUCACUAUAAUUAUCCAUGUCCCAAGAAAAAUGAGGUCUAAUUGUUCUGAGAAUUGGCCUUUCAGCCAAUCAGCUUUAGAUUGAUCCUUCUUCUGAUCCCAGCAUAUGGAUUUUGUUCUCAACUUUAGGUUUUGGAAAGCCUACUGCAAGGUCCUGGGUUCAUCACCAAUAUGGGGAGAGGGGAAAAAAAUGACAGUGGGUGGCUGCAACAAGGACAUAUUUCAGUCUAGAAGGCAAUAUUGGACAAACCAGAUGGGGAGUCUAGACCUGUUGAUUCCCAGUUGCUCAAGAAGUAUGUAUACAAUUUUCAGGUUAUUUGUAGCCACAGCAAUUAAAGAACAGUAACACAGGGUAGAACCUAGCAUUUUAUUUAGAUCUUCAUUAAAGUGUUGGAAUUGAGAACCAGACAUACGUAAUAAACCUCCAAAAAUAGACCCUGGAAGGCACUUUCUGCUUCGGGCAAGCAGUCAUGGAGUAGCAUGUAAACAAGCUGGCUUCUCUGUACCACGCCAGCCAAGUCCGCUCUCUCCACGGUCAGCCGCACCAGCUCUGCCCUCCCUUCGCUUAACACCAGCCAGACCCCCUGUAGGUCUAACCCAAGGUUUUUCUGUAGGACACCUUGGCCUACCUGGGAAUGCUGGAAACAUGUUGUUAAAGGAAUCAUGGUGUUGAGGAAAAAAAAAAUCUUUUAAAAGCUGCCAUCUGAGGUGAUGGCUUCUCUGUACUUACACCAUACCUCAGAAUACAAUAAAUAAGCAAUUAGAAAAUGUUCAAGUAUGAAGGGAUUUCCUCCUCCCCGCCAAAAGCACUGCUCUCUGAAGGAAGCUGGUUUCUCUGUAGCUACACCAGCUGUUCAGAAAGCUCAUUGGACCUGGUUUUGAAAAUAAAACAAAGUUAAAACCCUG
Ictidomys tridecemlineatus (thirteen-lined ground squirrel) is the source of this 3552-nucleotide non-coding RNA. The record is from RefSeq and is a predicted model, not a curated record. Lineage: Eukaryota; Metazoa; Chordata; Mammalia; Rodentia; Sciuridae.